UACGUAGGGUGCAAGCGUUAUCCGGAAUUAUUGGGCGUAAAGAGCUCGUAGGCGGUUUGUCGCGUCUGCUGUGAAAACCCGAGGCUCAACCUCGGGCCUGCAGUGGGUACGGGCAGACUAGAGUGCGGUAGGGGAGAUUGGAAUUCCUGGUGUAGCGGUGGAAUGCGCAGAUAUCAGGAGGAACACCGAUGGCGAAGGCAGAUCUCUGGGCAGUAACUGACGCUGAGGAGCGAAAGCGUGGGGAGCGAACAGG
This 253-nucleotide ribosomal RNA is filed under the name uncultured bacterium. RNAcentral describes it as "partial 16S ribosomal RNA". It matches the Rfam family "Bacterial small subunit ribosomal RNA", at positions 524 to 776 of the family's 1533-position model. The record is from RNAcentral.